Dermacentor silvarum is the source of this 2487-nucleotide long non-coding RNA. RefSeq lists it as uncharacterized. The record is from RefSeq and is a predicted model, not a curated record. NCBI's taxonomy places the organism in Eukaryota, Metazoa, Arthropoda, Arachnida, Ixodida, Ixodidae. The transcript has 2 exons.
GUAGGUAAAGAAUGCUAAGUGCAUUAUUAGUGCAGGAAUUGGAAUUACUGUCAACAUUAGGGACUGUAAUCAGAUGGCGACAAGUGUAAACUAAGAGAUUUAAUUCUUGCAGGUCUAGUCAACAAGAUAACCGCCGCACAAGUGGAGCUGGUUGGAGUUGAACAGCCAUCUCUAUAAAUAUGAAUUCGGUCAAAGUACGUGUCAUGAAAGACAUGCAGAGCGUACCGCUUCAGCGCAAACGGGGGAAACUGAGACUUGUUUUCAACGCCGGGAAUCAUGGGAACUCUUACGGUUUCGGAAGAGACCACAAAGUUGGGCGUUGGUGUUUCUGAAGGCAUGAAAGAAGAUUGGAGAGGAACGAUAGGAAGCUACAAGGCUCGAAAGUAAUUCCGGGUGGACUUUUCCGAUGAGAAGCAAGGCGGUGAGAUUUGAAGCCAGGACAGGUUUGAGGAUGCGUUCUAAACGUGUAAAUGACAAUACACGUAGUGAUUGUAUAAUUCCUGGAAAUAGCUUUUGCAGCUCUUGAAGCGGGGCAUCGUGGAAAACGAAGACACUGCUUUAACUGCUUGGGCUGACAUUGGAGGGGGGAGGGGUGCCUCUUGAGCAAUCAGAGAUUUGACUUACGGGUGCUUGACGGCUUAAUGGAGCAGUGCAGUGCAAAAACCCCACAAUGAGCGUUCUGUGCACGUGGCUCGAGCAUAGAACACGCCGCUGGUAACCAUGUUUUCGGGCGAUGAAUCUAAUAUGAAUAUUGAGUUCAGUUUUUUUUCCAGGAGAGGGGAGUCCCGAACGACAAUGCUGCCGAAAAAUUGAUGCUUCUUUUGUAGGAGAUAAGUUGCCAAUUUAUGGAUCCAGGCUAUGUUGUAAUCGAUUUUCGCGUGAAAGCGACUAACAAGCAUUUCAGAGCGCAGCUCUUAAGUGCCCGUUCCUGGAUUCAGCGUCGGCGUCCCUUGCCAUAACCGCGCGAACGCGCUCGUGCCACAGUUCACGCGUUUGUCGUCGUCUUCCACAGCUGGCUCCGAUGCCACUCAUCCUGCCUGCAUUCCCAUACUGCCUCUCCCUCUGCGAAGGCACUGACGGAACUGGCCCACUGCCAGUGGGUGCGGUGAUUUCCGUGUCAAAUUCUUUGCCUCAAUAUAUCGUGAAAUGAAAACACGUAUACAGCGGCGCUCAAAUUUCGCAUUAGGGAGUAUCGUAAUCGUCGGGCAUUUAUUCUUUUGUUGCGACAUUCAGAUCUUAUCUGGGAAGGUAUAGGCUGACUUCAGCGCUUGCACAUUUUGCAAACUUGUGUGGACCUGCUGGAGAGUCAUUGCCGAAGGUCAGAUGCAUAUGUCGUCUACGCAAAUCGGGAGAACGACUGCUUGUGUUAUUGAUUUUGCUAAGCCACGAAGAGUGAAAUUGAACAAAGCAGGGCUCUAAACCCAACCUUAUCGGAAUACACGACUCGCGUAGUGCUCGGUAGGUUGGCCAUCUUCACUGAAAACAAAGAAAGCAUCUUCGGGUGAUGUGCCUCUGAAACCACUGACCCCAAGUGUCAACAGUCGCGAGUGCGUCAACAAGGACUUCAGGAGAAGCAUAGUCCUAAACACCCUUCACGUCUUGGAAUAGCACUACAGACAUACGCUUGACUAAUUUCCUUUGCUGGAAGACAGAAGUAGAACAAUGUAGUCGAUCGACGAACGGCCACCUCGAAAGCCUAUCACGCGGCGGGUAAACAAUGCGGCAUUCGAUAAAUCCUUUUAUUUAGAUUAGUUUCAGAAAUGCGCGUUACUUUUCUUUUUUUUUACUAAUUUACAGCUGGUUUAAUUUUGGACCUAGACACUUUACUAUGAAACGUACAUAGUGAAAUGACACCCAAUUAAAGAAAACUUCACUUUCCGUCGCACUUAUGUUGUGUUGAUAUUGUGUGCUGCUUUGCUCCAAUUCCGUUGUGUGAAAGUUUCAUUGCCAGAAGUAUAGUCGUUAUGUUUGAAAUCAAUGACAGUUCGUUGAAAUGACGGGGGAACGUUACUGAAAUGUAAAAGAACAGCGUCAUCUUCGUGACACUAAUCGCAGCUCAAAAUAUUUGUUGCAGGUAAUUCCAAGAGGAAAGGAGUGUAAAUUAAAAUGCAUGCAUGAGGUAAAGGUGGGAUUGUACGUCAAGACGUACUCCAUUAUGGAGAAUGCACCGGACUACACGCCUUGCGGAGCCAAGAUGGCGUGCGUAAGGGGUUACUGCGUGUAUGCACCGAACAUUCCGCCAAUGAAUCCCGGAGGAAAAAAGAUAAUUCCUGGCUCUGCCACGUAUCCGCCAAGACAAGCUUCCGCAAAACAAUACCCUUAGAUGAGAAGAUAAAGGAGUUAUUGGCCGCCAAGAGGAAUCCGUUGUAAGACUUUUGUCACAAUAUUAAGUCUGCAGCCGCUGGCAAUACAGAGUACCUUGGAAGAGCGUGGAAGAGCUACAACUCUCCCCUUCCUCCAAAAAUAAUAAAUAACGGUGAUGUAAGA